RNAcentral lists this ribosomal RNA (274 nucleotides) under uncultured bacterium. RNAcentral's name for it is "partial 16S ribosomal RNA". It matches the Rfam family "Bacterial small subunit ribosomal RNA", at positions 523 to 796 of the family's 1533-position model. The record is from RNAcentral.
AUACGGAGGGUGCAAGCGUUAUCCGGAAUCAUUGGGUUUAAAGGGUCCGUAGGCGGGCUAAUAAGUCAGGGGUGAAAUCCCACAGCUUAACUGUGGAACUGCCCUUGAUACUGUUGGUCUUGAGUUACAGUGAAGUGGUUAGAAUGUGUAGUGUAGAGGUGAAAUGCAUAGAGAUUACACAGAAUACCGAUUGCGAAGGCAGAUCACUAACUGUAUACUGACGCUAAUGGACGAAAGCGUGGGGAGCGAACAGGAUUAGAAACCCCUGUAGUCC